This 460-nucleotide ribosomal RNA is filed under the name uncultured bacterium. Its description in RNAcentral is "partial 16S ribosomal RNA". It matches the Rfam family "Bacterial small subunit ribosomal RNA", at positions 338 to 795 of the family's 1533-position model. The record is from RNAcentral.
CCUACGGGAGGCAGCAGUGAGGAAUAUUGGUCAAUGGGCGCGAGCCUGAACCAGCCAAGUCGCGUGAGGGAUGAAGGUUCUAUGGAUCGUAAACCUCUUUUAUAAGGGAAUAAAGUGUGGGACGUGUCCUAUUUUGUAUGUACCUUAUGAAUAAGGAUCGGCUAACUCCGUGCCAGCAGCCGCGGUAAUACGGAGGAUCCGAGCGUUAUCCGGAUUUAUUGGGUUUAAAGGGUGCGUAGCUGGCGUUUUAAGUCAGCGGUGAAAGUCUGUGGCUCAACCAUAGAAUUGCCGUUGAAACUGGGAGGCUUGAGUAUGUUUGAGGUAGGCGGAAUGCGUGGUGUAGCGGUGAAAUGCUUAGAUAUCACGAAGAACCCCGAUUGCGAAGGCAGCCUGCCAAGCCAUGACUGACACUGAUGCACGAAAGCGUGGGGAUCAAACAGGAUUAGAUACCCUGGUAGUC